CUGGUUAGUACUUGGAUGGGAGACCGUCUAGGAAUACCAGGUGCUGUAAGCUUUUUGGAAAUUUUUCACUUAGUAUAUAAUAAUUUUGCCAAACAAUAGAGUCAAUGCCCGAUCUCUAAAUAUUAGCAGGUUUGGGCCUGGUUAGUACAUGGAUGGGAGACUGCCUGGGAAUACCAGGGCUUUAAACUUUUUGGAAAUUUUUCACAAAUUAUAUAAUAAUCUUGCAAAAAAAAAAAAAAAAAAAGUC
Molecule: long non-coding RNA, 247 nt
Organism: Carassius gibelio (silver crucian carp)
Lineage: Eukaryota; Metazoa; Chordata; Actinopteri; Cypriniformes; Cyprinidae
Exons: 3
Source: RefSeq, a predicted model, not a curated record